GUGGAGCAGACGCCGCGGCGGGAGUGGACCGAGCCUUGCCGACAAGUUUACAUGUAUUGGAGACCAGACCAGAAGCCCUUCUGAAUUAAGAUCUCACAUUCUUGGAGGUGGCAUCGAAGAGCACUAAGAUCAGAAGAUGAGUGAGCUUGACCAGUUACGGCAGGAGGCCGAGCAACUUAAAAACCAGAUUCGAGACGUCAGUAAAGCAUGUGCAGAUGCAACUCUCUCUCAGAUCACAAACAACAUUGACCCAGUGGGAAGAAUCCAAAUGCGCACGAGGAGGACACUGCGGGGGCACCUGGCCAAGAUAUACGCCAUGCACUGGGGCACAGACUCCAGGCUUCUCGUCAGUGCCUCGCAGGAUGGUAAACUUAUCAUCUGGGACAGCUACACCACCACCAAGGUCCACGCCAUCCCUCUGCGCUCCUCCUGGGUCAUGACCUGUGCAUAUGCCCCUUCUGGGAACUAUGUGGCCUGCGGUGGCCUGGAUAACAUUUGCUCCAUUUACAAUCUGAAAACUCCUGAGGGGAACGUGCGCGUGAGUCGUGAGCUGGCAGGACACACAGGUUACCUGUCCUGCUGCCGAUUCCUGGAUGACAAUCAGAUCGUCACCAGCUCUGGAGACACCACAUGUGCCCUGUAGGACAUCGAGACCGGCCAGCAGACGACCACGUUUACCGGACACACUGGAGAUGUCAUGAGCCUUUCUCUUGCUCCUGACACCAGACUGUUUGUCUCUGGUGCUUGUGAUGCUUCAGCCAAACUCUGGGAUGUGCAAGAAGGCAUGUGCCGGCAGACCUUCACCGGCCACGAGUCUGACAUCAAUGCCAUUUGCUUCUUUCCAAACGGCAAUGCAUUUGCCACUGGCUCAGACGACGCCACCUGCAGGCUGUUUGACCUUCGUGCCGACCAGGAGCUCAUGACUUACUCCCACCACAACAUCAUCUGUGGGAUCACCUCUGUCUCCUUCUCCAAGAGCUGGCGCCUCCUCCUUGCUGGGUACCACGACUUUAAUUGCAACGUCUGGGACACGCUCAAAGCCGACAGGGCAGGUGUCUUGGCUGGGCAUGGCAACCGCGUCAGCUGCCUGGGCGUGACUGAUGAUGGCAUGGCUGUGGCGACAGGGUCCUGGGAUAGCUUCCUCAAGAUCUGGAACUAACGCCAGUAGCAUGUGGAUGCCAUGGAGACUGGAAGACCAUUCCAACUUGGACGCGUUACCAUGAGAGCAUAUCCCAUCCAACCGCACUAACGUGGACACCCUACACCUCCCCUCAGAACUUCAAAAGGGCAAGAUCUUUUUUCCUUCACUUAUUGCUGAAACCAAGAGCACAAUUCCCAGUAAGAGAAGGAUCUCUGUGCUGUAAAACUAAAACAAAUUGUGCAUUCCUUCCGGGGCCAUCGUCUUUUGUUUUCUUUUUUGUCUUGAAUGAAUUUUAAAAGGAAAUAUAUAAUAAAAAUGUUAACCAGAA
Piliocolobus tephrosceles (Ugandan red Colobus) is the source of this 1469-nucleotide RNA transcript. It is a transcript of the gene named guanine nucleotide-binding protein G(I)/G(S)/G(T) subunit beta-1 pseudogene, with no coding region annotated. The record is from RefSeq and is a predicted model, not a curated record. NCBI's taxonomy places the organism in Eukaryota, Metazoa, Chordata, Mammalia, Primates, Cercopithecidae. The transcript has 2 exons.